This 253-nucleotide ribosomal RNA is filed under the name uncultured bacterium. RNAcentral describes it as "partial 16S ribosomal RNA". It matches the Rfam family "Bacterial small subunit ribosomal RNA", at positions 524 to 776 of the family's 1533-position model. The record is from RNAcentral.
UACGUAGGGUGCGAGCGUUAAUCGGAAUUACUGGGCGUAAAGCGUGCGUAGGCGGUUCGUUAAGUCAGCUGUGAAAGCCCCGGGCUCAACCUGGGAACUGCGGUUGAAACUGGCGAACUAGAAUCUGGCAGAGGGGGGUGGAAUUCCGCGUGUAGCAGUGAAAUGCGUAGAUAUGCGGAGGAACACCGAUGGCGAAGGCAAUCCCCUGGGCCUGCACUGACGCUCAUGCACGAAAGCGUGGGGAGCAAACAGG